GUACAAUAUUUAAGGGUAAAUUGGUCCUUUUGCUCUACCAGCUAAAACCCUAAUCGAUCUUAUUAUAUCCGUGGUCAGCUUCCCUCCGAGCCGAAACCAGAGAGCAAAGGAAUCUCAAAGAAAAAAUAAUGGGUGCGUACAAGUACGUGUCGGAGCUAUGGAGGAAGAAACAAUCGGAUGUGAUGCGGUUCCUGCAGAGGGUGAGGUGCUGGGAGUAUCGCCAGCAUCCUUCCAUUGUGCGUGUCACGCACCCCACCCGCCCUGACAAGGCACGCCGCUUGGGUUACAAGGCCAAGCAGGGUUAUGUGAUAUAUCGUGUGCGUGUGAGGCGUGGUGGAAGGAAGAGACCAGUACCCAAGGGUAUUGUCUAUGGGAAGCCCACAAAUCAGGGUGUUACUCAACUGAAAUUUCAACGCAGCAAGCGUUCAGUUGCAGAGGAGCGUGCUGGUAGGAAGCUGGGUGGCCUUAAGGUUCUUAACUCUUAUUGGCUCAACGAGGAUUCAACAUACAAGUACUAUGAGGUUAUCUUGGUUGAUCCUGCACACAAUGCGAUCCGCAAUGAUCCAAGGAUCAACUGGAUCUGCAAUCCUGUCCACAAGCACAGGGAGCUUCGUGGGCUUACUUCUGCAGGGAAGAAGUACAGAGGUCUGCGUGGCAAGGGGCACUUGCACCACAAAGCACGGCCUUCAAGAAGGGCAACCUGGAAGAGGAACAACACACUUUCUCUCCGACGCUACCGUUGAUCUUUUUGACAUAGUUUGUCGUUUCUAUCAUCCAAAUUUUAUUUUCUAUUAGCCGUCAAGAGAGAUUCAUAAUUGGUAACCAAGAUCCAAGAAGACAUGAAUAUGAUGAUGCUCAAAGUUGCUGCGCUCGUUGGAAUGUUCUGGUAAUUUCAGAUAAAUCUGCUCCUACCGUGCAUCUGGAGCUUGGUUCUAUCAUAACACAAAGUGAAUCGUCUUUAAGUGGACUGUAGCCUGUAGAUUAAUUUCAAAGGAAAAAAAAAAAA
This is an RNA transcript of Hevea brasiliensis (rubber tree), 1006 nucleotides long. It is a transcript of the gene named 60S ribosomal protein L15-1, with no coding region annotated. The record is from RefSeq and is a predicted model, not a curated record. The transcript is spliced from 5 exons. Lineage: Eukaryota; Viridiplantae; Streptophyta; Magnoliopsida; Malpighiales; Euphorbiaceae.